UGAUAAUUAGUUUAAAUUAAAAACAAAUGAUUUCGACUCAUUAAAUUAUGAAUGGUAUCAUAAUUAUCAAA
Molecule: transfer RNA, 71 nt
Filed under: Arctotherium sp.
Lineage: Eukaryota; Metazoa; Chordata; Mammalia; Carnivora; Ursidae
Description: tRNA-Arg
Rfam family: tRNA
About the family: Transfer RNA (tRNA) molecules are approximately 80 nucleotides in length. Their secondary structure includes four short double-helical elements and three loops (D, anti-codon, and T loops).
Source: RNAcentral